Molecule: ribosomal RNA, 253 nt
Filed under: uncultured bacterium
Lineage: Bacteria
Description: partial 16S ribosomal RNA
Rfam family: Bacterial small subunit ribosomal RNA
Source: RNAcentral
UACGGAGGAUCCAAGCGUUAUCCGGAUUUAUUGGGUUUAAAGGGUGCGUAGGCGGAUUGAUAAGUUAGAGGUGAAAUGUCCGAGCUCAACUCGGGAACUGCCUCUAAUACUGUUGAUCUAGAGAGUAGAUGCGGUAGGCGGAAUGUAUGGUGUAGCGGUGAAAUGCAUAGAGAUCAUACAGAACACCGAUUGCGAAGGCAGCUUACCAAUCUAUAUCUGACGUUGAGGCACGAAAGCGUGGGGAGCAAACAGG